GCGGAUGUGGCGAAAUUGGUAGACGCGCUAGACUUAGGAUCUAGUGCCGCGAGGCGUGGGGGUUCGAGUCCCUUCAUCCGCA
This 82-nucleotide transfer RNA is filed under the name Bacteroidota bacterium. RNAcentral's name for it is "Bacteroidetes bacterium tRNA-Leu". It matches the Rfam family "tRNA". Rfam says of the family: Transfer RNA (tRNA) molecules are approximately 80 nucleotides in length. Their secondary structure includes four short double-helical elements and three loops (D, anti-codon, and T loops). Further hydrogen bonds mediate the characteristic L-shaped molecular structure. tRNAs have two regions of fundamental functional importance: the anti-codon, which is responsible for specific mRNA codon recognition, and the 3' end, to which the tRNAs corresponding amino acid is attached (by aminoacyl-tRNA synthetases). tRNAs cope with the degeneracy of the genetic code in two manners: having more than one tRNA (with a specific anti-codon) for a particular amino acid; and 'wobble' base-pairing, i.e. permitting non-standard base-pairing at the 3rd anti-codon position. Lineage: Bacteria; Pseudomonadati; Bacteroidota. The record is from RNAcentral. RNAcentral also lists the same sequence under 6 other names.